AUGAGGAAGAAGGCAAUGAUGGAGAUCGGUGGAAGGUGGCGGCGAAGAGAGUGGGGAGGAGGUGGGCAUUCGCAAGGGCUUGAGAAGGGUUGGAAGAAAAAAAAAUUCUUUUCCUUUCUUUCUCUUUUUUGGAGAUGUGGGAAGCAAAGCACAUGAGGGAGAUUGGAGGGGAAGGCUGACAUCGAUGAUGAUGGGGAAGAAGGUGACGGUGA
This 212-nucleotide long non-coding RNA is filed under the name Elaeis guineensis (African oil palm). Its description in RNAcentral is "long non-coding RNA (EGUI_LNC061156)". The record is from RNAcentral. Lineage: Eukaryota; Viridiplantae; Streptophyta; Magnoliopsida; Arecales; Arecaceae.